This 417-nucleotide ribosomal RNA is filed under the name uncultured Nitrospira sp. RNAcentral's name for it is "bacterial SSU rRNA". It matches the Rfam family "Bacterial small subunit ribosomal RNA", at positions 355 to 774 of the family's 1533-position model. Lineage: Bacteria; Pseudomonadati; Nitrospirota; Nitrospiria; Nitrospirales; Nitrospiraceae. The record is from RNAcentral.
UAAGGAAUAUUGCGCAAUGGGCGAAAGCCUGACGCAGCGACGCCGCGUGGGGGAUGAAGGUCUUCGGAUUGUAAACCCCUUUCGGGAGGGAAGAUGGAGCGAGCAAUCGUUCGGACGGUACCUCCAGAAGCAGCCACGGCCAACUUCGUGCCAGCAGCCGCGGUAAUACGAAGGUGGCAAGCGUUGUUCGGAUUCACUGGGCGUACAGGGUGUGUAGGCGGUUUGGUAAGCCUUCUGUUAAAGCUUCGGGCCCAACCCGGAAAGCGCAGAGGGUACUGCCAGGCUAGAGGACGGGAGAGGAGCGCGGAAUUCCCGGUGUAGCGGUGAAAUGCGUAGAGAUCGGGAGGAAGGCCGGUGGCGAAGGCGGCGCUCUGGAACGUUUCUGACGCUGAGACACGAAAGCGUGGGGAGCAAACA